GUCGCUGUCGCACGUUACUAGGAAACUCAUGGAUUCUUGUGCGUGUGACAGUGACUA
RNAcentral lists this microRNA precursor (57 nucleotides) under Euprymna scolopes. RNAcentral also lists the same sequence under 2 other names. The record is from RNAcentral. Lineage: Eukaryota; Metazoa; Mollusca; Cephalopoda; Sepiida; Sepiolidae.